UUCACGGAGAGUUUGAUCCUGGCUCAGGACGAACGCUGGCGGCGCGCUUAACACAUGCAAGUCGAGCGAGAACCAGGCCUUCGGGCCUGGGGACAGCGGCGAACGGGUGAGUAACACGUGGGUAAUCAACCCUCGAUACUGGGAUAGCCCGGGGAAACCCGGAUUAAUACCGGAUGGCCCUUUGGAUCCUCGGAUCCGAAGGAAAAGGUAGCUUCGGCCUCCGAUCGAGGACGAGCCCGCGGCGGAUUAGCUUGUUGGUGAGGUAACGGCCCACCAAGGCGACGAUCCGUAGCUGGUCUGAGAGGACGAUCAGCCACACUGGGACUGAGACACGGCCCAGACUCCUACGGGAGGCAGCAGUGGGGAAUCUUGCGCUAAUGCGGGAAACCGUGACGCAGCGACGCCGCGUGAGGGAAGAAGGCCUUCGGGUUGUAAACCUCUUUCAGGAGGGACGAAGCCACUCGGGUUAAUAGCCCAGAGGGUGACGGUACCUCCAGAAGAAGCCCCGGCUAACUACGUGCCAGCAGCCGCGGUAAUACGUAGGGGG
This 547-nucleotide ribosomal RNA is filed under the name Actinomycetes bacterium. RNAcentral describes it as "bacterial SSU rRNA". It matches the Rfam family "Bacterial small subunit ribosomal RNA", at positions 1 to 534 of the family's 1533-position model. The record is from RNAcentral. Lineage: Bacteria; Bacillati; Actinomycetota; Actinomycetes.